UGCCAGCCGCCGCGGUAAUACGAGUGCCCCAAGCGUUACCCGGAUUCACUGGGCGUAAAGGGUUCGUAGGCGGCAUAGUUAGUCGAUUGUUAAAGCACCGGGCUCAACCCGGGACAGGCAAUCGAAACGGCUAAGCUAGAAGGUGUGAGAGGUAAGUGGAACUCAUGGUGUAGAGGUGAAAUUCGUUGAUAUCAUGGGGAACACCAAAAGCGAAGGCAACUUACUGGCACACUCUUGACGCUGAUGAACGAAAGCGUGGGUAGCGAACGGGAUUAGAUA
Molecule: ribosomal RNA, 279 nt
Filed under: uncultured bacterium
Lineage: Bacteria
Description: partial 16S ribosomal RNA
Rfam family: Bacterial small subunit ribosomal RNA
Source: RNAcentral